GGUGAGGAAUACAUCGCGAAGCUACUUUUUCGUGGGGGAUAACGUAUGGAAACUUACGCUAAUACCGCAUACCACCUACGGGUGAAAGCAGGGGACCUUCCGGUCUUGCCCGAUUGAAUGAUUCUAUGUUUGAUUAACUAGUUGGCGGGGUAAAGGCCCUCCAAGGCGACGAUCCGUACCUGGUCUGAGAGGAUGAUCAGCGGCCCUGAAAAUGAGACACCGUCCACACUCCUACCGGAGGCAUCACUGGGGAAUAUUGGACAAUGGGCGCAAGCCUGAUCCAGCCAUACCGGACGGGUGAAGAACGCCUUCCGGUAGUAAACCCCUUUUGUUAGGAAACAAAUCCACCCGGCUAAUACCUGGCUGGGAUGACAGUACCCAAAGAAUAAGCACCGUCUAACUUCAUGCCUCCAGCCGCGGAAGUACGAAAGGGGCCAUCGUUACUCAUAAUUACUGGGCGCAUACCCCGCGUAUGGGGCUGUUUAACUCUGUUGUGAAAGCCCUGGGCUCUACCUGGGAACUGCACCGGAAACUGAACUACUAGAGUGUGGUACAAGGCAGCGUAAUUCCUGGCGUACCACUGAAAUGCGUAGAGAUCAAGAGGAACAUCCAUGGCGAAAGCAGCUACCUGGACCUCCACUGACUCUGAGGCACGAAAGCGUGGGGAGCAAACAGGAUUAGAUACCCUGGUAGACCACGCUCUAGACGAUGCGAACUGGAUGUNNGGUGCAAUUUGUCACGCACUAUCCUAGCUNACUCGUUAAGUUCGCCGCCUGCUGAGUACGCUCGCNGACUGCAACUCUACGAAUUGACGGGGCCGCACAUCGUGGAUUUGUGCUUAAUUCAUGCAUCGCGAUGAACCUUUCUGAUCAUGACUGUCCAGACUUACAUAGAUGAUC
RNAcentral lists this ribosomal RNA (899 nucleotides) under Stenotrophomonas sp. RNAcentral describes it as "bacterial SSU rRNA". It matches the Rfam family "Bacterial small subunit ribosomal RNA", at positions 105 to 1006 of the family's 1533-position model. The record is from RNAcentral. Lineage: Bacteria; Pseudomonadati; Pseudomonadota; Gammaproteobacteria; Lysobacterales; Lysobacteraceae.